This 10616-nucleotide long non-coding RNA is filed under the name Lynx pardinus (Iberian lynx). The record is from RNAcentral. Lineage: Eukaryota; Metazoa; Chordata; Mammalia; Carnivora; Felidae.
CGCGGCUCUGCGCCGCUGCCCUGAGCGUCAUCCAGGUUCGGGUGCCUCCCCGCGUUAAACAGACGAGAAAUCCGAGGUCCGGGGAGCCAAGAGACUUGCCCAAAGUCGCUCAGAGGGCGGUGACAAAGCAAACUUACAUCUGCGACUCCUUGCUUUCCCCCAAGGCUGUGCUCUGUGAAGCUCGGGCCCUGCAGGAUUUGCCUCGCUCUCAUUGGUGAGACUGGGACAGUGUCCCACGCAGCCGGGAGAAAUAUCUAGGAACAGCGUGGGAAGGUGGAGCUUUAUGGCCAAUAAAUAGGGUACAAAGUUGUUUUCCGUCAGUGCCUACAUGCCAAAUAGACACUCGAAGGCUUCCUUUUUACCCGAGAAAGCGGGGCGGGCUGGGGGUGGGGGGGUCGGUGAGGGCGUCAGGCCUUGAGGGCGUGGGAUCCGGUACCAGUCCUGAUCCCGGAAUAAUUGAAUGAAAGCAAGCUCAGACCCACUUAACCAACUAAGAAAUAUCUACAGCUUGAAAUAUACUAAUUUUUGGAAUUGGAUGUGAUGCAGGCAGGCCAGUCUGAGGACACGUGAGGGGGGCCCCAAAGGACGAACCAAAAGGAUCCUUGGCUUCGGGCAGGAUAGAAAUCACAUGUGAAAAGUUUAUGGAAUAGCGGGAGUGACCGAGAAUAGCAGAGGGAGUGUCUGGGAGACUCCAAAGGGGGAAUGAGUCUAGGGGUUGCUUUGGGUUAGGGAUUUAUAUUGGAAAGGUGUCCAGGGUAUGUGUUCCUUGAGGAUUCCAGGAGAGGGGCCAAAGGCACAUGACAGGUGAAUAUUAGGUGUUAUUUUAGAAGGUCUGCGGUGUUGAUGCCAGCGUCAGCCCAGAUUUGAUCGAAGCUAAUGUCCUGGAAUGAGUUUGGGAUCUGGCUCUUCUUAGAUGUUAUCCGGUGUCUGAGAACUUAGGACAGAACUCAGAGAAUAACUUUCUUAUUUCCCCCUUGGAGUGGGAACAUAGCUCCUCUGGUUUAUGCAAACGCAAAAAAUAGAACAUGAGUAAAUGGGGCCUAGCAGAAGAACAGCAGAGAUGGAGCCUUUCUAAAAAUGGAGUCCCUUCCGUUUCCCUAUCUCAGAUGCUUUAUCUGUGCUGGCAGUUGUCUACUUCCAGAAGUCUCCUGCAGCACUCCUGUUCCUUUUAGGGCCAGAGGCUCCUAGGGCCUGACUUUUAGAACAGGAGGCCCACGAGGCAAGUCAGUCACAGCUGGUUUGCUGCUUCCUUCAGUGUCAGUCCGUGUUGACUAAGGGCUUGCCAUAUGCCUGGUUGGUGGGUGGAGAGCCAGAUAAGACCAGACUCUGACACCCAGUGAAUCCCAACUAGGGAGCACUGCAUAAGACUCCGUAUCCUUUACUCCCAGGAUCUAGAGUCUGUCCACAGUAGUAGAGACUCUGACACUACUCUGCCUCUUAAAAACUUCUCUGUGCCAGGGGAGCAAAUACUUCAAGAUCCGUUUUGCAGACACUUUCAAGUAAAUGGCCAGCUUUGCACUCAUCUCCUUUUCCCCAGUGGGACCUCCUUUUUCUGCAAGAGUCACUAAAGAUCAGGUAAUUCACUCUGCUUGUCUCCCCCGUCUGCACACGAAGAAGAUGAUGAUAAAAACAAGUAAGGCUUCUAUCAUCCAUCUUGGGCGCUAUUCUAAGAUAUCUGUACAGAUUCCUGUAAUCAUCACAAAGUUACGAAAGAGGUGCCAUUUCUAUUCUGAUUUUAUAGAUGACAAGAGGGAAGCAGGUGAAGUGAAAUAAGUUGCCAAUAAAUGGAAGAGCCAGAACUCAGACCCUGAUGGGCUGCCCCAAGUAUCCAUACUGUUAACAGCUGAGGAGACUGAGGCCUCUGAGACUGGGAUUUGAAUGGCCCACCGGCCCACACCAGCCCCCACUCGCACCACCGAAGCUUCUGGUUAUCUCAAGCAAGGGGCGUUACGAAAGCCACACUCACAGAAUUCCUCCCAAAGAGACCAGUUUUCUUAUUCUGAAUAUAUCCAAUCAAAAGUGGUUAUCCAGGGGCAUCUGGGUGGCUCAGUCGGUAAAGGGUCCAACUUCUGCUCAGGUCAUGAUCUUGCAGUUUGUGAGUUAGAGCCCCGCAUCAGGCUCUGUGCUGACCUCUCAGAACCUGGAUCCUGCUUCAGAUUCUGUGUCUCCCCCCUCUUUCUGCCCCUCCCAUGCUCAUGCUCUGUCUCUGUCUCUCAAUAAUAAAUAAAUGUUAAAUUUUUUUUUUUAAAAAGUGGGUAUCCAUUCACUCACUUGCUCCCCUGUCUCCAACUCCCAGAUCAACCUACUUACUAGUCAUAAAGCAAACUGUUUCUAUGAUGGGACCUUAAAAAACACCUUUAGCAUAAAAUUUGGGCACGUUGUUUUGGAUUGUUCUAUAUUCAGACCAUGCCCAUUCUCUCCCUGCCCUCUCUAUUCACUGCCAUCAAUUAGUCCCUUUCCUUAAAACAGUGCCCCAAGUCUUCCAAAAGCUGAUUGUCCAAGGCUGGAUGGUGGCCACGGAAGGUCUCUGCUACGCUGUGCAGCACGCUCAGUAUUCCUGUUAGUUUCCCAGAGCUGCCGUAACAAAUUACCACGAACUAGGUGACUUAAAACAGUAGAAAUGUAUUCUUUCACAGUCUGGACCCAGAAGCCUGAAAUUAAGGGGCUGGCAGGGCCAUGCUCCCUCUGAAAGCUCUAGGGAAGAAUACUCCUCUGUCUCUUCCUCGCUUGCGGUGGUCAAGGGCACUCCUUGGCGCUCCUCGGCUUGCAGAAACAUCACUUCAGACUUUGUUUCCUUUACUACGUUAGCCUUCUUUUGUGUGUGUGUGUCUUCUCUGUGUCCAAAUUUCUGUCUUCUUUAGGGUUAUCGGACCCUGGAUUUAGGACAACCCUAAUCCAGUAUGACCUCAUCUUAACUUGAUUACAUCUGCAAAGACCCUAUUUCCAAAUAAGGUCAGGUCCACAGGUUCUGGGUGGACAUGAAUUUUGGGAGGACCCUAUUCCACCAAGUACCAGCCCUAAAAGUCACUGUUAAUGAAAAUGUUUGCUUGAGCUAAGGAGGCAAAGAGUUAUAAAUCACAGGGCCUCUCCUCCAAGUAAGACAUUGUAGUUACAGACAUAGUCCCUGUACCCAGGACAUCAAUAACCAACAGGACAGGAGAUGCCAAGCGCCAAAUGAUGGGCCAAAUAAAUGACAGCCAUGCUCAGGAAGUCAGCCAAGGGGACACAGUCACUGAGGACACCACUAAAGCACAUCACUCCGAGCAGAGGGCAAUCUAAGCACACCCUUGUAGGAAAGCAAAGAUAAGUAAGGAUAGCUUAUCAAAAGCACAGCUGUGAGUGGGGAAGGCGUGCCUGGCAGAAUUUUACUUCUGAAGUUUUACUGCAGAAAUGAGAGGCUAAAAGGACACCUACCAUAUGGAGUAUAAGAACAAGGUAGAUUAUUUGGCCACAAUAAUGGUAUGUUGCAAUGCCAUUGCAAUUAGCAUGCUUUAAAGUGCUCGUUCCUUUCAUUAAUUUCAUUCGGUCUUUUUUUUUUUUUUAAUGUUCUAUUUAUUUUUGAGAGAGCACAAGUGGGAGAGGCAGAGAGAGAGAGAGGGAUGAAGGAUCUGAAGGGAGCUCUGAGCUGCCAGCACAGAGCUGGAUGCUGGGCUUGAACUCACGAAACACAAGAUCAUGAAUUGAGCCGAAGUUGGAUGCCCAACUGACUGAGCCACCCAGACGCCCCUCAUUUGGUCUUUAUAACAAUCAGAGUGUCAUCAGAGAAAAGGACAUUAUAUCUUACAUCUAAGGAUCCUGGGGCUCAAAGGGGGCAAAUAAUUUGCUCAGGUCAAACAGCAAAUCGGUUGUAGAAUUGGUAGGAAACACACUGGCCUCAAUAGUCCUUGUUCAGGAAUUUCCUUACCAAAUGAUGUUUUCCCCUGGGUGAGCCUUCCAGUACUGGCUGUGUUGUCCUUGGCCCAAGGAAAGCAUCUGAAGAACAGGGUAAUCCUGUAAGAAAUGAAAAGCCUUCCUAAAGCCAUGUGAAUUCCAAAUUGGAAUUGUGAUAAACCUCCCCCAGACAUCUGAAUUGGUUUCACUAAACCUUCUGAGUAUUUUUGGCUGUAUUAAAGAAUCUCCUUUGGCCUUCUAGAAACAUAAUAGGAUACAGUGGCCUUCUGAGAAGCUCAGCUGAUUACCUCAUGAAAAUAGAAGUUGGAGAAGUUGAGAUGUUGGAUACAAAAGGCAACAAAUUACAUCACAAAAUGGUAAGCUGACAAAAACUGAUAAUCACAAUUUCGUGUUGGAUCUCACCAGUGUGGAGUCAUGCGCAGAUGACCAGAUCUUGGCAUGUUUGAAAGAUUGUCCACUAAGAAUCUGUAACUGUGGCAAGCAGCUGGAAGUAAGCAGAAAGUCUAACCUUGGGCUGAGUAUCUGAUGAUUGAUGUGUAUUUUCCUGGAUUUUCCUUUACUUAGUAAUCAGGGAACUUGCUAUAUCCUCUGCUGGCUGUGUUUAAUGGUAUGUUUAAGGAUGAAAUGCUUUUGAAUCUAGUGUGAUUCACUGAGUUCUUACCUGUGCAAAGUGCUACACUGGUUGCUACAAGAGAAUACAAAAAUAUAAGAGACAGUCCCUGACCUUGAAGAAAAGCCCAUAUCAUUUAGGAGAGAUGAGACGUAGAGAUUAAAAAUGGUAUAAGUGGGGCUGCAAUGAUAUUCUCAGCAGUUUCUCGUCAAUCAGUUGUCUGUUCAGAUGCAACUUCUCUUGCCACCCUUUUUACAACAAUGGCUUCCUGUACCUCCAUAUCACCUUCUAGCCCUUUAUCUUGCUCUCUGGCCUUUAUGACAUUUGUCACUAUCUGAAAUUAAUUUCUUUGCUUGUUUACUCUGCUCCUAGACAGAGGACAUGGAAUUGUCUCGUUUUUUGGUGUAUUCCUAGCAGCUAAAACAAUGCUGGGCACAUAUUUGGUGCUCAUUAAAAUUUUCCAGACAAAUGAAUGAAGUACAUAUUAAUCAACUGAAAAUGGGCCAAGAUAAGUUGAAUUAAUGUAGUGUUUCCCACAUUUGACUGAUAAAACUUAUAUGGGCACUAUCAAAAAAUUUUUUGUGAAGAUUUUGAUUCAGUAAGCCUGGAAUGGGGCCCAGGAAUCUGUAUUUUUAAGAAGCAUCCCAAAUGAUUCUUUUAAUGGGACAAGUUUGAGAAACAGAGGAUUUUUUUUUUUUUAAAGUACAUUUAAUGUUUAUUUUUGGGACAGAGAGAGACAGAGCAUGAACGGGGGAGGGGCAGAGAGAGAGGGAGACACAGAAUCAGAAACAGGCUCCAGGCUCUGAGCCAUCAGCCCAGAGCCUGAUGCGGGGCUCGAACUCCCGGACCGCGAGAUCGUGACCUGGCUGAAGUCGGACGCUUAACCGACUGCGCCACCCAGGCGCCCCGAGAAACAGAGGAUUAAUGCAGUGAUUGAUGCAUUGAUGGUGGUUGGGAAAAAAAAAAACAAAACUGAAGUUACAAGACCAGUUUCCAAAGAUCAGUGGCUGCUCACUGGAAUCACCUGGGAGAGAUUUAAAAAACCCUGUGGGUGCCUGGGUGGCUCAUUUGGUUAAGCAGCCUACUCUUGAUUUCAUCUCAGGUCAGGUACUCAUGGUUAGUGAGUCGCUGCGCUGACAGCACAGAGCCUGCUUGGGAUUCUGUCUCCCCCUCUUUGCCCCUCCCCCCCACAUGGGUACGUGUGCUUGCUCUCUCUCUCACUCUCUCUCUCUCAAUAAAUAAAUAAACUUACAAAAAAAAAAUCCCAACAGCACAGACACUACUCCAGAUCAAUGAAACUAGAAUCUCUUGGGAUGAGGCCUAGAUUUGGUCUGGGUUUUAACAUUCAACAGGUGUUCCUAAUAAAUAUCCAAGACUGACAAUCCCCUGAGAUCUGCAGAAAUAUUUUAUAAGUACUCCAUGUAUAUUGCUAAGUUGUGGUCCAGUGGCUUCCAGCUUCUUGUGUCCCACAGCUAGAAUCCUUGAUCUCCUAGUCUGGAAGAAACACAUGCAGACACUUACACAAUAACCCAAUUUGGGGAGAACUAUAGUAACUUUUUGCUAUUGUAAAACAUGUAAUUGGGGUGCCUGGGUGGCUCAGUUGGUUAAGUGUCUGAUUUCGGCUCAGAUCAUGAGCUCGUGGUUGGUGGGUUCGAGCUGUGUGCUGACAGCUCAGAGCCUGGAGCCUGCUUCCAAUUCUGUGUCUCCCUCUCUCACUGCCCCUCCCUCACUUGCAUUCUGUCUGUCUCUCUCUCUUAAAAAUAAACAAACAUUAAAAAAAUUUAACAAAAAAGGUUAUUUAAAGCAACAACUGAAUAAAAUCUCAUGUACUUCAUGGCCAGAGAAAAAAACACAUACAAUAUUUUGAAGGUGAGAAAGCCAACGCCCCUUGGGCAUAGCCUAGAUGGUUAGAAUGAGUCAUAGAGAGUAAAAAUGCUACGCUUAUAAUAAAAUGGGAGAAAACAGGGGCACCUGGAUGGCUUAGUCAGUUAAGCGUCCGACUUUGACUCAGGUCAUGAUCUUACAGUGUGUAGGUUCAAGCCCCGUGUCGGGCUCUGUGCUAACAGCUCGGAGCCUGGAGCCUGCUUCGGAUUCUGUGUCUCCCUCUCUCUCUCUGCCCCUCCCACACUCACAAUCUGUCUCUCUCUCUCUCUCUCUCUCUCAAUAAAUAAAUAAAAAAAAAAAAAAAAAAAAAAAAGGAGGAAACAUAGGAGAAUCCUGAGUUUCUCUCGGAGGCCUACAGAAAGGUGAGAGGUGGCCCAGGAAAGAGAGAAAGGGGAAGAUGUGGAAAGAGUCUACAACAGUGGUUCUCAAUCUGGCUGCAUAUUAAAAUCACCUAAGGUGCUGAAGAAAUUACCGAUCCCAGACUCGUUCUCAAAGAUUUUCUGUAUUAAGUAUAGGGAUGUAGUGUGUGUGUGUGUGUGUGUGUGUGUGUGUGUGUGUGAUGCAGCAAGGUUGUUAAUCACAGGUUCAGAGAGGGGAGCCCGGGCAACUUACCCCUCAUAACAACAACAGCUAUCAUUUAUUUUUUUAACGUUUUUUAUUUUUAUUUUUAUUUUUGAGAGAGUCAGCACAGAGCCUGACUCUGGGCUUGAACCCACAAACAUGAGAUCAUGACCUGAGCUGAAGUCCAUUGCUCAACUGACUGAGCCACCCAGGCGCCCUGACAGCUAUCAUUUAUUGAGCAACCCCUCUGUGCCAGCCACAGUGGCUGAUGCCUGCUUUAUGCAGCUUACCUCAUUGAAUCCUCACGUACAUCUGAGGAGGAAGGUACGUUGGUAGCUCCAUUUACAGACAUGGAAACCUAGAGAGGGUCACAAGGUUCCCUAAUUAGAGAGUGGCAGAGCUAGGAUGUCGGCCCCGAGCCUGCUCUCAUAUCCACUGUCUUGUCCUGCUUCAACCAAGGCAGGGUGUGAUGAGGACGUCCUUAAAGAGAAACUCCCUGUGGCAGAGGUCAUGUCCAGACAUUAAGUUUUGUGCUGUACUGUGCUGGAACUCCUUCCCCUUUAUCACCAAGCCUUCCGGGAAGCCCCUGCUCCACAACAGCUGGGGUGGGUGGUGCUUUGGGGAAAGGACCAGGUGGGGUGAGAUCAGUAUGAGGCAGAGGGAUGUGGGAGGUGGUGAGAGCAUUAGUGGCUGAGAGCAGUGUCCAAGGACCAAGCUGACCAGUAGGCUGAUGGAGUUUCAUAGAAAAACAGCUACAGUGGGGCGCCUGGGUGGCUCAGUCGGUUAAGCGUCCGACUUCAGUUCAGGUCACGAUCUCGCGGUCCGUGAGUUCGAGCCCCGCGUCGGGCUCUGGGCUGAUGGCUCAGAGCCUGGAGCCUGUUUCCGAUUCUGUGUCUCCCUCUCUCUCUGCAUCUCCCCUGUUCAUGCUCUGUCUCUCUCUGUCUCAAAAAUAAAUAAACGUUAAAAAAAAAAAUUAAAAAAAAAAAAAAAAGAAAAACAGCUACAGUAGAGAAUGUAGAGAAACAGCAGCAGAGGGACCAAAAAUGGGGCAGUGGCGGACUUCGCCCUGUGUGUUGACUGAGCGGCUCAGAGUCUGUCCCCUUGGCUUCUAUAGGAAAGGGACCUCCACCAUUUUAGAGAGGGGCUCUCUGGGCUUGCGUUACGACACAUAAAAUAAUUUGUGACAGAGAGCCAGGUUCUUCCACAUUUGACUGUCUACUUGUUUAUUUAUCCUGGAUACCUUUUUUUUUUUUUUUUGGUUAAGUAUCAAAAUUUUCUUAAACCUCUCCAUAUCUACCACUAGCAUUUCUGUUUCGGGGACAUUUUUACAUGAGGAAACCUAAUUUUUGUUUUGUUCUGUUUAGUCAUUUCGUAACAGUUAAUGUGUAGGCAUAAUGAGCAGAGAACAAAAAUGCUGUGCUGAGGUGAAGAUGUUGGGUGAUUGGCAAGUCUCACCCACCAGCUGGGUAACUUGUCUCACCACUUCCUGGCCUCCGGCUUUGAAGGACAUGACCCAACUUCAUAUCUCAGCCAGCCUGCCAGACGUCAUGGAACUUUAAGGUGUCUUGUGAAAAUCUAAAAACAGAAAUGUUAACUGCUUUUACUUUUAGAAAUACCACUAUUUACAUUACAGCUUCAAAUGUUUGCAUCUGCCGUUCCUACUUUAAAGUCCCUGGCAAAGUAGCCUAAAUGAAAGAAUGUGAAGUAACAAGUAUGUCCAAGGAAUUUAAGGUUGACCAUGCAGCCUGUACUCAGGGCUUAAAUAGAGACCGAGGCAAGCUGAUCUGACCAUGGCCUCAAAUUCUGUUCCUCUUAUUUAGGUCCAUAAAAGAAUUAUGGAUGUGAGAACGUUAUGAUUAAGUUUAAGCAGAAGCUUACUGUAUUUCUUGGCUUUAACAAGUUUAAGAAUGAUAUAGCCCUGGUAUCCUUCUCUGAAAUAGGCUUCAACAUAAAUGUGCUGAGGAGAAAUAGGAGAGGGUGUCCAAAGAAAUACACAUGGUGGGUAUGUGCUAUUACCCCUCAUGGAACUGGGAAUCCAAAGGGACUUAAAAGUCCAGGUCCUCUGGGCACAUGCAUUCAUUUAAAAACAACAGGACAGUUUCCCAUGAAAAUUGAGUUUGGGCAAUAUUUCAGAUGAAUAAGCUUUACUCAUUCUUUGUACUGGAACUCCCUAGAUUGAGAAAGAGAGAGCCCAAGAACAGAUACCAAUGUGUUCAUAUUGCAACUCAUCCAGUAAGACUGCUGCAUUCCAUUUGCCACUUAUGUCUCCGUCUGCCAUGACUACCUGUCAUUCACUGAAGUGAGCAAAUACUGACUCCCUCAGAGUGUGUAGGAGGAAGGAGUCGAUACGGUCGUCAUCACUCAAAAUGAUGUCGAUACUCUUGUAAUCAUUUUGUAUAUAUACAAUCAGGCAAAUACUUUUGGUUGAGAGAGAGGAAAUAUAUGGUAGCUGACAGCAUGAGUUCUGAAGCCAGAUUAUUAGGUUUGAAUCCCAGCUUUACCACUUGGUAGCUGUGUGACUUUGGGCCAAGUUACUUCAUUCUGUCCCUCAGUUUCCUUAUUUGUAAAACGGGAAUAAUAUCUCUGCCUCAUAGGGUGUGGUGAGGAUUAAAUGAGUUAUUACAUUGAAAGUGGUUAACAAUGACUGGUACAUAUUAAGUGUUCAAUAAAUAUUGCUCUUAGCCCAACUCCUCCCCCUCACACAUAUGUUUGGUGUUUUUGUUUGUUUGUUUGUUUGUUUUACUGACAGAUUCUGGAAUCCGUACAACUGACUACUCUCCUGCACAUGGGCAAAUCCUUUUUCCUCUCAACCAAUCAAGUUAAUCCUACUUCCCAGGCCAGUGACUAGUUUACAAACGGGCAGAUGGUAUAAUUCUAGCCAAUGAGACACAAUGUCCCGGGGUGGUCGUGGUGCUCGGAAAAGAUGUGCAUUGGAAGAAAGUUCUUUCUGUUCUUCUUCUAAUGAGGCUGUUUCUACAUGUACACCUCCUGUAAUAGCCCAGCCAUCUUGGCACUGUGAAGGGAGCUGGAAGAAAGAUGGAAACAACAGUGACAAUGUUGAGUUGAAGAAUUAAUGAAGUCUAAAGUUUCUACCUCUGGACUCGUUAUAGGAAAUAAAUUUUCCUUAUUGUUUAAGCCAUUUUUGAGUAGAGUUUUCUAUUAUUGUACCUGAAACCUUCUAACUGGUUGAUAUUUCUUGAGCAUCUAGUAUGUUUGAGAUAUUUUAUGGAAAUAAGGUAUAAAUCUCUAAGCCUGAUAUCAACAAGUUUUCCAGCUAUUUGCAGGGAGAUGAACUAUGAGAACGAAUAAUACCAAGCUGUAAAUAUUCGGUGCUUGGAUCAGGGUGGUCUGAGAAAGCAAUACAUGAGGUCAUAUAUGAGGAGAGGGCUCAAAGAGUAAAGAACACAUAGAUGGGCAGAAGAGAGAGGGAAUAUUCUAGGUAGUAUAAACAAAUGUAUGGGAGAGUUAGGGAUUGCAUUAACUUGCUCAGAGCGCCAUUACAGAAUACCACAAACUGGGUGGCUUAAACAACAAAAAGUUACUUCUCAUAGUUCUGGAGUGUAGAGAUCCAAGAUCAAGGAUUCAGCAGUGUUGAUUUCAUUCUGAGCCCUCUGUCCUUGGUUUGCAGAUGGCUGCUUUCUUGCUGUGACUCACAUAGUCUUUAAAAAAA